Anolis carolinensis (green anole) is the source of this 8289-nucleotide long non-coding RNA. RefSeq lists it as uncharacterized. The record is from RefSeq and is a predicted model, not a curated record. The transcript has 2 exons. Lineage: Eukaryota; Metazoa; Chordata; Lepidosauria; Squamata; Anolidae.
CCCAUAGAAGCCACCAGAUGUCACUAUUGGAGUUGUACUAUCUGGUGCUGUAUCUCUAGGCAGAACCACUUUGGCUCCAAACUCUCUUGGGUAUGCGAUAGAAAGAAAGAAAGUUCUCAAAUAUAUAUUAUUAAUUUUGCAAUGGUUCAGUGACCAUGUCUGUGAUACUGUAACAGGAAAAGCAAAAAGGAAGAGAAGUGGCAAAAUGUUACUGAAGGUCCCCUGAAUGAAAGGGAAUUAAGCAUGUGCAUGAAUAACAGAGGGCAGCCAAUCCCAGCACAAAGAACUCUGAGGGGAGGGGGCAGGGCUUCCGUGAGUGAUAGGAAGAUUCUUAAAGGAAGGUAGUUGGUGACAAUUGGUGGAAGACAGUUGAAGGAAUCAGUUGUGAGAAUCAGAGGGAGUGACUAUAUACUGGGUAUCUUGAUUGAAGGAAAAGAUUGGAGUCUAGAUAUGAAGCAAACAAGUAUGAUCCAAGGUGUGAAUUACCUAUAACGAUGAGAAAAACGUGGGACACUCUUCAAUUACCUGGGAGGCAAUACAGCAUCAAUGUCUUUCUCGUACCACAAGAAGAAGGCAAGGCUACAAAAAUCCUAAGGAUGUGGCUGAGUUGGUAGUAUAGGUCAUUUAUUGGGUUGCAUAGAAGGAGAAGUUGCAACCUUCUGUGUGUUUGUUCCUGUAACAGCACUGUGUGUAACACAUUAAAGGAAGACAAACAUUCAAAUAUUUGGGAAGGUUUGGUGGCUCCACAAUAGUCAGCUACUGCAGCUAUAUGGCAGAAACCAUGAAUGAGAUGACAAUUAUUUUGGAAAGUCAUUUUAUUUUAAAUGGGUGAUGGCAUUAUUUGAAUGGUGCAAUUGGAGAGAACUGCUAUGGAAAGUAUUAAUGUGAAGAAUAAUAUGUAGAUAUGUUAAAACAUAGGGAUAAUCAAGAUAUCUGAUCAAAGUGAACCAAAUCCCCCAUUUUGCUAUAUUAGUUAUCACUAGAGUUGCCACAUGGAACAAGAUUAAUGGGGGUUUCCUCCUCUGAUUAAAAACUUGAAGAACAAAUAUAAAUGAUACCUUGAGAAUUUUGAUGAGAUAAGUGAAAUUUCAAGGCAAGUUAAAGUCUUGCAUACUCAUAGGUUGCCACAGGACUUUACUUACAGUAGAUUUCAAAACAAAUGAUUUUUUCCUUGUUUUAGUUAAAUGUUUUAAGUAAUGUUGAAAAAAGUUUCAAAAGAAUAGCAAAAAAUAUUAGGGCGAUUUUGCACCUCCCAACUUAUUUAUGAGGAUGGAAGGAAAGAAUGAAAUAAGAAACAUUUGUUUUUCAGCUUUUGUACCAGGGCUCUGGGAACUGAAGAAUCUAUCUAUAGUUCUCUGGUCAUUGGAUCAAUCAGUGUCUUUGUUCUUUAAAUUUUAAUUGCUCCUAGUGCCUAAAAAAGACAGCCAGAAUAAUAAAGCAAAAGACUGAGGGCAAUCUUUCUUUUCCGCUCAAGAUGCAUAGGCUGUCAGGCUGAGAAGAAAUUCACUAUGGAAAGGAUGAAGAAACUUUUUUGAAGUUAUUGAAGUAAAUGUGUGUCAAGUCGAACAGGAAAGACAGAGCUCACCAUAAAUUUAAGGCAUGUUCAGCUCAUGAAGUCAAAUGACAAGCAGUGUCGCAAACACACACCAUGUCACAGAAUCUUAGAAUUGUAGAGUUGGAAGACACAGCAAGGACCAAACAGUCCAACCCCUUGCCAUAUCUUAACAUAGCCCUCCUAAGACUAUCUUGGGUGGCUGAGCCCCUCCUGAAAUGACCAGGGACCAAGGACUAGGACUACCAGGGUUGCCUAUGUAGCUGAGCGCUCCAAGGAACUACAGUAGAGUCUCACUUAUCCAAGCUAAACGGGCCGGCAGAAGCUUGGAUAAGCGAAUAACUUGGAUAAUAAGGAGGGAUUAAGGAAAAGCCUAUUAAACAUCAAAUUAAGUUAUGAUUUUACAAAUUAAGCACCAAAACUUCAUGUUAUACAACAAAUUUGACAGAAAAAGUAGUUCAAUACGCAGUAAUGUUAUGUUGUAAUUACUGUAUUUAAGAAUUUAGCACCAAAAUAUCACGAUAUAUUGAAAACAUUGACUACAAAAAUGGCUUGGAUUAUCCAGAGGCUUGGAUAAGCGAGGCUUGGAUUAGUGAGACUCUACUGUACCACUGAAAAUGUUCUAACGUAUAACAAUCUUUGGGUUGUUGUAUUCUUUUGGGCUGUGUGGCCAUGUUCCAGAAAUAUUCUCUCCAGACGUUUCGCCCACAUCUAUGGCAGGCAUCCUCAGAGGUUGUGAGAUAUAGACAAACUAAGUAAGGAAAGGUAAGAAUAUGUAUCUGUCUAGAGUCCAGGGUGUGGCAAGAGUCCUUUUUCACUGGGAAGCCAGCAUUAAUGUUUCAGUUAAUCAUCCUAAUUAGCAUUGGAAAGGUUUUGUCUCUUGCCUGGGGGCAUCCUUUGUUCAGUCAUUAGCUGUCCUCUGCCCUCAGAGUGUUGGUUCCCAUCUACUGUUUUGAUUUUAGAGUUUUUUAAUACUGGUAGCCAGAUUUUGUUCAUUUUCAUGGUUUCCUCCUUUCUGUUGAAGUUGUCCACAUGCUUGUGGAUUUCAAUGGUUUCUCUGUGUAGUCUGACAUGAUAGUUGUUGGAAUGGUCCAGCAUUUCUGUGUUCUCAAAUAAUAUCCUAAUGUAUAACAAUCUUUGUAUUUGCUUCAAAGUGUCUUGCUUAUUUUUUCCUCUUUAUACUGUGAACAGUUUUACAAUAUUUAACUUAUAUUUGGUCAUUGUCCUUAUGGUAGUCACAUUAUCUGCACCACCACUACUACUACUACUACUACUACUACUACUCCGUUUUACUGAUUUGUGCAAACAUACUGUAAAGAUGUCAUGAUCAUUGUGUUUUAUUCAUGAUUGCUAUGUUUAGGUUGACUGUUUAAGGUUAUAUAUUUCAGCUGUUCUUGUACAGAAGCUGGGAGCCUCUGGGGCAUGGCCAGGAAAAGGGGCGUGGCUUCACCUUGCUGGUGGAAGCCUUAGAAUUCAAAAUUUAGCAGUUGGAAUUCGGCAGUUGGAGUUUGUCGGUUGAGCAGAGCAGUUGGUUCUAUUCAGUGGGAAAGGAGUGUGAUCGAAAUAAAGAGAUGGUGGGAGGAAGUUGAGCAGCUAGAGAGUUUUAGCGGAGAAGGGCUAAAACUAAAGUUGCUGAGCCUUUAGUAGGAAUAACUAAAGAGCUGAGGUUACAUCCCUAAGUCAUAGAAGGACUAGGGUCAACCAGUUAAACUCCCCAGUCCAAGUUUGAUCGGGUACAGAUCAAUUUAGUUCAAGAAGGACAGUAUUCCUGACUGAAAGAAACAAGUCUUAUAAAGCUAAUACCAUACUAAGCUCAGUGAAACGAUUGAAAAGUCUUGCAACACUUACUGUACAGAAGUAACAUCGUUCAACUUAAGUUAUAACAUUCUUGCAACCAUCAAGCUUUGUACUAUAAAUAAACAAGUUACUGUUUCUUCAAAUGUUGCUUAUUAUUUGAGCAAAGCAUCUUUCAAAGGUGGUGGCAGCGACAACAUAGAAAAGUGAAUACAUAGAGGUAGAAGGUGAACCCUUCGAAUUUUGGUGCCAAGCAGUGGGAUCUGAAGGGAUUCCAUUCUCUGUCACGUCAAGUCAUCACAUAAAUUGGUGGCAGCGGUGGGAUCCAAAAAGAUUCCAUCCUUGUCAUCACAUCAAGGCUUCACAUAAAUUGGUGGCAGCGGUGGGAUACGUGUAACAAAAACUGAUUCAGUGCCUGAAAUUCGUGUGGCAAAAGUCAGUUUGGUGCCGGAGAUCAGCUUUAGGUAAAAGGGCUGAGGUAAAACUUGUCUGGAAAUGGCCACCAGAAAACAGAAAAAGUUGGCAGAGGAGGCAGGAGAGCUUUCCUCCUCAGAUUCAGAACAAGUAACCUUGUCUGAAAUGUCUCUCAAGUAUCAAUUAGAGAUGAAGAAACUAGAGAUUGAGGAGAGAGCCAGGCAGAGAGAAUGGGAGGAGAAGCAAAGAGAGAGAGAAUGGGAGGAAAAAGAGAAAGAGAGACAAGCUGAGGAGAGAGCCAGUCAGGCAAAAUUAGAGUUGAGGAGAAUGGAAAUAGAUUUGGAGAAACAAAGAUUGACACACUCUCAACCUCACGCUGAUACCCAGGAAGGAGAUUUGAGAGCUGAAGCACCUGAUGUAAUUUUAAAAAGGUUUCCCAGAUAUAACAAGGAAGAUGAUAUAGAAAAGUUCCUUAUAUCCUUUGAAAGGUGCUGUAAAGAUUUUGAAGUGAGUGAAGACAAAUGGAUGUUAUAUCUGAGGCCACAAAUUAGUGGAAAGCUUCUAGAAAUAUACAGUGAUAUGGCUGAAGACACUCACAGAGAUUAUAAGAUGUUUAAACUGCAGGUACAACAAAAGUUUCAGUUGACGCCUGAAUUUUACAGAUUAAAGUUCAGAACUUUAAAGAGGGACAGACACCAAAGUUUUGCGCCAGUUGCUUCAAAGCAAGCUCAAUACUUUGACAGCUGGGUGAGGACUUCUGAAGUAGAUUCCUUUCUGCAACUUAAGGAACUAUUGAAGCUAGAGCAGCUCUUUCACCUAGUUCCCUCAGAAUACAGAUGGCUAAUUCAAGACCGAAACCCAAAGACAGCCAACGAAGCUGCAGUUAUGAUUGACCAGCUAAUUACCUUGAAAGAAGGUUUUAGGAAGGAGGAAGAACCAAAAGAGAAAAAACCUCUAAAGCCGACGUUUUACCCUCACGCACGCACACAGAUGCAAAGGGGAGGUUCAGGAGAAAACACCGCCUAUAGGAAGCAUGAGGCAGUUGCAGGCCAAGCCAGGCCUGAGGAAAAGAUAAAAUGUUACCAUUGUGGAAGGCCAGGGCAUCUUAGAUAUCAAUGUAACUUAAUCAAGAAAGACAGGUCUACUUUCUUUGUAAAUAGAGCUCCAAUAGAACAAGAAGUGGAACCUGAAGUUAAAUCUAGAAGCCCUGAUGUGAGGCCAAAAGAAAAACAAUGUUUAUUUAUCCUUUCGAGAGAAAUCUCUGAAGACUAUUUAGAAUCUAUUGUCAUAGAUGAGAUACACACGCAGGGAUGGAGAGACACUGGGUCGGAUGUCUGCAUUAUACGUCCUGAAGUGGUCCCACAGAGAUACCAACAUCCCUCUUCAGAGAUAAAUUUAAAGGGGAUUGGUCCGUCGAUACCAACCCCUGUAGUAUCCUUACCCAUCAAGUACAAAGGCUGGGAAGGAUUAUGGGACUUUGCUGUCUGCGCGGAUAUCCCAUACAAAUGUUUGAUUGGGAAUGAUUUAAAUGGAAAAGUUAGGAAUUGGCAGAAAGAAGCUGAUAAACAUGAAGGCAACAUGGAGGUCCACACUCCAAAAGCCAAGUGUUUGACCAUCCAAGCUAGCUCAGAGCAACUUCCUGAGUCUAGUUCGAGCAUCAUUGAGUUGGUCAGCGGAAUAGAGGGAAAACAAGAGAUACUGCGAGAGCAACUAGCAGAUGAAACAUUACAACCUUUGUUCUUGCAAGCUCAGAGCGCCACAGGAACAGAAGAAAGUAAAACUCCUAAGUUCAUACUUAAGGAGGGAGUUUUAUACAGGAAAAGUACAAACCAUAAGACUUUGAAUAAGCCAGAAACACGUACCCAAAUAGUGGUACCUGUAAACUACAGGAAACAACUGUUAGAUGUGGCCCAUGACAAUCCACAAGGAGGGCAUUUGGGGGUUAGAAAAACCACCCAAAGAAUCAGUAAGAACUUUUUCUGGCCUGGCAUGUAUCAACAUAUCAAGGAGUUUUGCAGGUCGUGCGAUACUUGCCAAAGGUUUAGCACGGGAAGAGAUAAGACCAAAGCACCUUUAGUUCCCAUGCCGGUUGUUGGGGAACCCUUUUUCCGAGUAGGGAUUGAUCUAGUUGGUCCUUUGUAUAAGCCCUGUCGGAGAGGAUACAAAUAUAUCCUCACAGUAAUAGACUAUGCAUCCAGGUAUCCAGAUGCAGUGGCUUUGACCAGUAUUGAAACUUCCACCGUAGCCAAUGCGCUGUUAUCAAUUUGGGGAAGGACUGGAUUUCCCAGAGAGCUUGUGUCAGACCUGGGGACUCAGUUCACCUCGCGGCUAAUGAAGAAGUUAUUAGAGUUGUGCGGAAUUAAACACCUAACGUCCACACCUUAUCAUCCGCAAACGAAUGGCCUAGUAGAAAACCUGAACAAAACACUAGUGAAAAUGAUCAAGGCCUAUAGCCAGCAGAGACCCCACGACUGGGACACCAAGUUGCAGCAGCUGUUAUUCGCAUAUCGAUCAGUCCCACAGGACAGCACUGGUUACUCGCCUUUUGAAUUGUUAUUCGGAAGGAAGGCUCGUGGACCCCUUGAUUUGAUCAGAGAGCACUGGGAAGCAAGCCCUACACCAGAUCCUGUUCCUGUCGACAACUACAUCAAAGAUCUUCAGUCAACAUUAAAGAUGGCCAGGGACAUCGCCCAGGAACAUCUUAUGGCGGCCCAGGAGCAACAAAAGACCCGGUACGACGCAACGUCGAGACCCCGAGACUUCAACGUCGGAGAUGAGGUCCUGUUUUUAACACCCAACAAGAACAACAAACUACAGAUAGACUGGACUGGACCGUGGAGGAUCGUCAGGAAGCAGAACCAUGUGAACUGUGACAUCUUAGAUGAACGAUUGGGGAUUGAGAAACGGGUGCAUGUAAAUAUGAUUAAGCCGUAUGUAAAUAGGUCAGCAAAUGUUUACUGUGUAGUAUCAGAGGAAGAUACAGGUCCUUUUUCAUUUUGGGAAGGUAAUAGGGAGAUACAUAGAAACUUGGAUAAAGUAACCAUAAAUUCAGACUUAUCUCCAUCACAACAAAGAGAAGUUAAAGGAAUCUUGGCUAAGUAUAAAGUCAUGUUUUUGGAUUUACCCGGGAGAGUGCAGGGAGUGCAACAUAAAAUAUGCACCGGUGACGCCGCACCGAUAGCAUCCCCUCCCUAUAGGGUAACGGGUAAGAUAAGCGAAUGCAUAGAGCAAGAGGUCAGGGAGAUGUUAGAUUUGGAUAUAAUCGUGCCAUUUAACAAGCCCUUGGGCUUCGCCCAUAGUGUUAGUAAAGAAGCCAGACAAAACCGUAAGGUUUUGCAUAGAUUACCGGCGGCUAAAUAAAAUCACCCAAAACGACAUGUAUCCGAUGCCCCGUUUGGAUGAUUUACUAGAAAGAAUUGGAAAAGCCAAAUUUAUAAGUAGUAUUGAUGAAGAUGGAGAGGAUAGGCCCAUACUAUUCCUCAGUAAGAAGUGGCAUUCUAAUGAGCUUAGCAUGUCCACAAUCGAGAAGGAAUGUUACUCGAUAAUCUGGUCCAUAAAGAAACUGAAACCAUACUUGUGGGGAAGGAAGUUUACGUUACAAACUGAUCACGCACCCCUAAGAUGGUUGGAUAAUGUAAAAGGGACCAAUAACAAAUUAUUGAGAUGGAGUUUAUCACUACAGGACUUUACCUUUGAUAUUAAACAUAUAAAGGGCAAAUGUAAUGUAGUAGCUGAUUCUCUAUCCAGAGCACCUUGAUCGGAAGACUUACAGGUUUGUAUUUAGAGUUUAAGGUAUGAUGUUAUGUUUAUGUAUAGAUAUGUAUUUUGUGUUACUCUCUAUUAUUUUUGCUUAUUCUGGGUCUAGAAAAAGCAAAAAUAAUCUUUCCGGGUUGGAAGGUAUGUAAAGAUGUCAUGAUCAUUGUGUUUUAUUCAUGAUUGCUAUGUUUAGGUUGACUGUUUAAGGUUAUAUAUUUCAGCUGUUCUUGUACAGAAGCUGGGAGCCUCUGGGGCAUGGCCAGGAAAAGGGGCGUGGCUUCACCUUGCUGGUGGAAGCCUUAGAAUUCAAAAUUUAGCAGUUGGAAUUCGGCAGUUGGAGUUUGUCGGUUGAGCAGAGCAGUUGGUUCUAUUCAGUGGGAAAGGAGUGUGAUCGAAAUAAAGAGAUGGUGGGAGGAAGUUGAGCAGCUAGAGAGUUUUAGCGGAGAAGGGCUAAAACUAAAGUUGCUGAGCCUUUAGUAGGAAUAACUAAAGAGCUGAGGUUACAUCCCUAAGUCAUAGAAGGACUAGGGUCAACCAGUUAAACUCCCCAGUCCAAGUUUGAUCGGGUACAGAUCAAUUUAGUUCAAGAAGGACAGUAUUCCUGACUGAAAGAAACAAGUCUUAUAAAGCUAAUACCAUACUAAGCUCAGUGAAACGAUUGAAAAGUCUUGCAACACUUACUGUACAGAAGUAACAUCGUUCAACUUAAGUUAUAACAUUCUUGCAACCAUCAAGCUUUGUACUAUAAAUAAACAAGUUACUGUUUCUUCAAA